CAGCUUGACUUUGAAUUUCCCUAAGUGGAAGAGCCAGGACGCGCUGCUGGGUUAGUGGAUUGCCGUGCGCUAUAUUUAGAAAGCAGCUGGAAGGGAAAAUGUCCUCAGGAAUCCGGACUGUUGUGUUGUAAAUGCCCCUCCAGUCCCAGCACUGUAAAGGCAAACGCUCCUUCUUCCGACGUGCCCGCCCUUCGCGCUGGAUGUCACGCCUGGCGUUAGCACAGACGAAGGCCUGGCUCUUCCUUGGGCUGCCUGGGGACUCAUGAAGGACCUAGCACCUGAGUUCCAGCUCAGCCUGCUUGGAGACUGUAGCAAUGAAGAGCCCCAGCACCUCAGGCCAAUGGGACGUGCCAUUGAAGAACAGUGCUCAAAGGGCCUCAUCCUGUCUUACUGUGAAAUCAUGGGCCAACACAUCUUUCUAACCAAGCCAGCACCCAACCGGAGGAGGACGAGGUGAACGCUGUCGGUGGGCACAGGACAGGAAGAUGAAGCCAACAAAGAAACAGCCCCCCGGCUCCUUGCGCCGGCCUGAGGCUUCUAAUGUGAGGAAAAACACGCGGUGACAAGUGUGGAAAAGAGCAAGCACUAAAUUACUGUCAGAAAAAUAAACGGCGGAGCGCGGUGCUGCGUGGUGAUUUACGGGGGCAAUUAGCCACCGCCCCACGGAGCCGCUGAGGACGGUGGGGCCGCCGCAGCAUCCCCCAGGGCUGGCCCGCACCCUUGGAGCUCGCCCCCAUUUCGUGGCUUUUUUUUUUUUUUUUGCUUACCCUAAAAAUAGGGAUGAGGGGGGAGAGGGGAGCUACCCCAAAAGCGGGAGCCUGUGUUUGUGGGGAAGCUGUGAGCGCUGCGGCUCUGCUUGUCGGUGGUGGCGAGUGGCUGGCGCCCAGGUGUGCGGGGUGAUUGAAAAGGUGAGCAAGUAAAGUUAAAUGAAAAAUGCUCUUGGAGAAGGGAAGCUGGAAAGCGGGGAUGGAAAAGCUGUUGGGGCUGGGUGAGAGGGUGGAGGUGGCCCUGCAGCUGCUGCACGUCUUCUGGAGUUGCUGUAGGCCAUUAAGUGUCUGGGCAGCCCCGCAGGCUUGGACAAGAGCCAGUCCUGCCGCUAACUGGGAGUGGACAUUAAAGAAAUCUUAAUGCUGUUGUUGUACCCGUGUGGAGUCCAGGAGAGGUGUUUUAAUUUGAAGCUAGCAGCAAAGAAAGUACAGCUGGUAGAAGCUCCAGUUCAGCCUGGGACCACGACUGUGAGCCCCACGUCAGCAUGUUGUGGGGCUUCCCCAGGGGCAGCUGGAAGGAUCAUCAUGUCCCUGGUCUAGUAUGAUCUGUGACCCGGACCAUGUGCCUGGGAAGGAUACCUGGGCCUCAGAGCUGCCAGACUCUGAUUUCUAUCCCUAAAGGGAUAGCAGUGAUGCCGCUUUGCUUCAGCUUGUUACUGGGUCCACUUCUAGCACACAGUGGUUCUGUAACUGUUCCAUCCUGCCUGCUAUCCUUGACCCAGCCAUCCUUCCUUAGUUGGUUUUCAUUUUCUAAGGCUGUAUUGGUCACCUAGAGCUUGUGUCCAUCCCCUGAGCAGGGCCUGGCUCCUGCAGGAGGCAGCCGUAUCUGACUUUGGAUGCAUACUCCCAUUAGACCUGCCAGCCCGGCGUCUGGCUCCUCCAAAUAGUUGGCACUUGGAUCAUGGGAGACAGCCUGUCCGAGCUCACUGCAACAGCUGGUGCCAGCCAGCUCUUCAAGGACUGGUGCCAGCAGCAGGAGGAGCGUGCCAGGGCCUGCUCAUCAAACAGACCAGCAGCCAUCCCAUGGCUGCCACCAGGGGACAAAGGGAAAAGCAGCAGAGCAAGUCCCUCUCGACAUGGCACCUCGUGGGAAAGGCAGAUGUGUGCCUUUUGAAAGAGGAUGCAAGCCGGAGGAAGAAGAGCUGCUGCAGGUCUGGGUGACCUUGGUAAGUGGCAUUUCCUCCUUGCUCCAGUUUCUCAUCUGGUGAGAAUUGUGUGAUACCUGCCUUUGGGAAAGCACUCAAGACUUAUGAAUGGAAAACAAAUCAUAGAAGCGAAGCAGCAGUGUUUAUUUUGGGGUCUGCCCUUGGCUGCUUCCUCGCUUUCUAGAAGUGGUUCUCGUGGGGAUGUGGGUGCGUGCACACACGAGGUGCUCCUGGUGCUCACCUUCCCUCACAAGGCAGAGCCCUGCUUCUCCCGCGGGUUGCUAGGCUGCCUCCUAUUAAGUGAUGUGACCAGCAUCUCUCUUGUAAUUCUCUUCCUCCCACUGGAAAAACUGUUUG
Long non-coding RNA from Calidris pugnax (ruff), 2269 nucleotides. RefSeq lists it as uncharacterized. The transcript is spliced from 4 exons. The record is from RefSeq and is a predicted model, not a curated record. NCBI's taxonomy places the organism in Eukaryota, Metazoa, Chordata, Aves, Charadriiformes, Scolopacidae.